This 482-nucleotide ribosomal RNA is filed under the name uncultured bacterium. Its description in RNAcentral is "bacterial SSU rRNA". It matches the Rfam family "Bacterial small subunit ribosomal RNA", at positions 28 to 526 of the family's 1533-position model. The record is from RNAcentral.
GACGAACGCUGGCGGCGUGCCUAACACAUGCAAGUCGAACGAGGUCGCCCCCUUCGGGGGACCGACCGAGUGGCGAACGGGUGAGUAACACGUGAGAAACCCACCCUGGAGACCGGGAUAACCCGGGGAAACCCGAGCUAAUACCGGAUACCCUCACCGGACCUCAUGGUCUGAGGAGGAAAUGGAUUCCGCUCCAGGACGGUCUCGCGGCCUAUCAGCUAGUUGGCGGGGUAACGGCCCACCAAGGCAUCGACGGGUAGCUGGUCUGAGAGGACGAUCAGCCACACUGGGACUGAGACACGGCCCAGACUCCUACGGGAGGCAGCAGUGGGGAAUAUUGCACAAUGGGCGCAAGCCUGAUGCAGCAACGCCGCGUGGGGGAGGAAGGCUCUCGGGUUGUAAACCCCUUUCAGCAGGGACGAAAUUGACGGUACCUGCAGAAGAAGCGCCGGCCAACUACGUGCCAGCCGCCGCAGUAAAAC